UUGGAAUAUUGGUUCCUAAGUGGCAGGGCAUACUCUUUCCAGGCCAGUCCAGCUGUGACCUUAGCAGCUUGCUCUGCUUCCUCCCUUCUGUUCUGUAAGUGUCGAAGAUACAGAUAAAUAACUGAAGUACCCAACUUAGGACCACAGUUGAAACAACCGUUCAGGAGAGAAAUUAGAACAGCUUUAAAAUACAAAAACCACUAGCUCAGGUCCUCUGCAGCAGUUGCAAGCACAAGUUACCCUACCUUCUUGGCACAGGCUGUGGGCACCACUGCAAUGAACAAAUAUGUGAUGGAGAGAUGGGAAAGACAGAAAACUG
Long non-coding RNA from Mastomys coucha (southern multimammate mouse), 319 nucleotides. RefSeq lists it as uncharacterized. Lineage: Eukaryota; Metazoa; Chordata; Mammalia; Rodentia; Muridae. The transcript is spliced from 3 exons. The record is from RefSeq and is a predicted model, not a curated record.